AUGUCGAUCCGCCGCCUGGGCGCUUCGGAUUUUCGCGGAGUCCGCGAGCGCCGCUCCGACGCCUUCUCCUUCGAGAUCUGGUUUCGCGAGAAACGUCUCAUCCUCGGCACCUUCGACACCGCAGAGGAGGCGGCCCGCGCGCACGACGCGGCGGCGAUGUGGCGCCUCCUGAGGCCUCGUCGGGAUAUGAAUUUUCCCAACGUGUCGAGCCAGCGGUCGCAGGAUCUGACACCUCUCCCGCGGCUUUUCACCGACGAGGAUCGUCGUGUCCACCGGAGGCGGCAUCGUCGCCUCGCCAUCGCGGAGAAGGACGUGGAAGCCUUGCCGGUGUGGCGCGGAGGCUUCCCGCAGGACAUCGUCGACGAGCGCCAGUUGUACAAGCAAAGGAGGUUGGAGAGGGACGGGGGAGGAGGGAGCGAGCCGCCUAUCGGGAGGACAAGAGUUUGCGGAAGCAGGCAACUCAAUUGA
Molecule: ribosomal RNA, 468 nt
Filed under: Triticum aestivum (bread wheat)
Lineage: Eukaryota; Viridiplantae; Streptophyta; Magnoliopsida; Poales; Poaceae
Description: partial small subunit ribosomal RNA
Source: RNAcentral